Molecule: ribosomal RNA, 497 nt
Filed under: uncultured bacterium
Lineage: Bacteria
Description: partial 16S ribosomal RNA
Rfam family: Bacterial small subunit ribosomal RNA
Source: RNAcentral
GAUGAACGCUGGCGGCGUGCCUAAUACAUGCAAGUCGAGCGAACAGACGAGGAGCUUGCUCCUCUGACGUUAGCGGCGGACGGGUGAGUAACACGUGGAUAACCUACCUAUAAGACUGGGAUAACUUCGGGAAACCGGAGCUAAUACCGGAUAAUAUAUUGAACCGCAUGGUUCAAUAGUGAAAGACGGUUUUGCUGUCACUUAUAGAUGGAUCCGCGCCGCAUUAGCUAGUUGGUAAGGUAACGGCUUACCAAGGCGACGAUGCGUAGCCGACCUGAGAGGGUGAUCAGCCACACUGGAACUGAGACACGGUCCAGACUCCUACGGGAGGCAGCAGUAGGGAAUCUUCCGCAAUGGGCGAAAGCCUGACCGAGCAACGCCGCGUGAGUGAUGAAGGUCUUCGGAUCGUAAAACUCUGUUAUUAGGGAAGAACAAAUGUGUAAGUAACUAUGCACGUCUUGACGGUACCUAAACAGAAAGCCACGGCUAACUACGUG